Molecule: ribosomal RNA, 468 nt
Filed under: uncultured bacterium
Lineage: Bacteria
Description: partial 16S ribosomal RNA
Rfam family: Bacterial small subunit ribosomal RNA
Source: RNAcentral
GACGAACGCUGGCGGCGUGCUUAACACAUGCAAGUCGAACGGAAAGGCCCUGCUUUUGUGGGGUGCUCGAGUGGCGAACGGGUGAGUAACACGUGAGUAACCUGCCCUUGACUUUGGGAUAACUUCAGGAAACUGGGGCUAAUACCGGCUAGGAGCUCCUGCUGCCUGGUGGGGGUUGGAAAUUUUCGGCGGUUGGGGAUGGACUCGCGGCUUAUCAGCUUGUGGGUGGGGUAGUGGCUUACCAAGGCUUUGACGGGUAGCCGGCCUGAGAGGUGGACCGGGGACAUGGGGACUAAGAGACGGCCCAGACUCCUACGGGAGGCAGCAGUGGAGAAUAUGGCACAAUGGGCGGAAGCCUGAUGCAGCAGCGCCGCGUGCGGGAUGACGGCCUUGGGGUUGUGAACCGCUUUCGCCUGUGACGAAGCGUGAGUGACGGUAAUGGGUAAAGAAGCACCGGCUAACUACGUG